This 253-nucleotide ribosomal RNA is filed under the name uncultured bacterium. Its description in RNAcentral is "partial 16S ribosomal RNA". It matches the Rfam family "Bacterial small subunit ribosomal RNA", at positions 524 to 776 of the family's 1533-position model. The record is from RNAcentral.
UACGUAGGGGGCAAGCGUUGUCCGGAAUCAUUGGGCGUAAAGAGCGUGUAGGCGGCCCGAUAAGUCCGCUGUGAAAGUCCAGGGCUCAACCCUGGAAUGCCAGUGGAAACUGUCGGGCUAGAGUCCGGAAGAGGCGAGUGGAAUUCCCGGUGUAGCGGUGAAAUGCGCAGAUAUCGGGAGGAACACCAAUGGCGAAGGCAGCUCGCUGGGACGUUACUGACGCUGAGACGCGAAAGCGUGGGGAGCAAACAGG